UCCGACGUAGCUCAGUUGGUAGAGCGGGUGACUGUUAAUCACCAUGUCCCGUGUUCAAGUCACGGCGUCGGAG
RNAcentral lists this transfer RNA (73 nucleotides) under Myxococcales bacterium. RNAcentral describes it as "tRNA-Asn". It matches the Rfam family "tRNA". Rfam says of the family: Transfer RNA (tRNA) molecules are approximately 80 nucleotides in length. Their secondary structure includes four short double-helical elements and three loops (D, anti-codon, and T loops). Lineage: Bacteria; Pseudomonadati; Myxococcota; Myxococcia; Myxococcales. The record is from RNAcentral.